Molecule: ribosomal RNA, 1742 nt
Filed under: Campylobacter coli
Lineage: Bacteria; Pseudomonadati; Campylobacterota; Epsilonproteobacteria; Campylobacterales; Campylobacteraceae
Also listed under: 1 other name
Description: partial 23S ribosomal RNA
Rfam family: Bacterial large subunit ribosomal RNA
Source: RNAcentral
AGGUAAGCUACUAAGAGCGAAUGGUGGAUGCCUUGACUGGUAAAGGCGAUGAAGGACGUACUAGACUGCGAUAAGCUACGGGGAGCUGUCAAGAAGCUUUGAUCCGUAGAUUUCCGAAUGGGGCAACCCAAUGUAUAGAGAUAUACAUUACCUAUAUAGGAGCGAACGAGGGGAAUUGAAACAUCUUAGUACCCUCAGGAAAAGAAAUCAAUAGAGAUUGCGUCAGUAGCGGCGAGCGAAAGCGCAAGAGGGCAAACCCAGUGCUUGCACUGGGGGUUGUAGGACUGCAAUGUGCAAGAGGUAAGUUUAGCAGAACAUUCUGGAAAGUAUAACCAUAGAGGGUGAUAGUCCCGUAUGCGAAAAACAAACCUUAGCUAGCAGUAUCCUGAGUAGGGCGGGACACGAGGAAUCCUGUCUGAAUCUGGGUCGACCACGAUCCAACCCUAAAUACUAAUACCAGAUCGAUAGUGCACAAGUACCGUGAGGGAAAGGUGAAAAGAACUGAGGUGAUCAGAGUGAAAUAGAACCUGAAACCAUUUGCUUACAAUCAUUCAGAGCCCUAUGUAGCAAUACAGGGUGAUGGACUGCCUUUUGCAUAAUGAGCCUGCGAGUUGUGGUGUCUGGCAAGGUUAAGCAAACGCGAAGCCGUAGCGAAAGCGAGUCUGAAUAGGGCGCUUAGUCAGAUGCUGCAGACCCGAAACGAAGUGAUCUAUCCAUGAGCAAGUUGAAGCUAGUGUAAGAACUAGUGGAGGACUGAACCCAUAGGCGUUGAAAAGCCCCGGGAUGACUUGUGGAUAGGGGUGAAAGGCCAAUCAAACUUCGUGAUAGCUGGUUCUCUCCGAAAUAUAUUUAGGUAUAGCGUUGUGUCGUAAUAUAAGGGGGUAGAGCACUGAAUGGGCUAGGGCAUACACCAAUGUACCAAACCCUAUCAAACUCCGAAUACCUUAUAUGUAAUCACAGCAGUCAGGCGGCGAGUGAUAAAAUCCGUCGUCAAGAGGGAAACAACCCAGACUACCAGCUAAGGUCCCUAAAUCUUACUUAAGUGGAAAACGAUGUGAAGUUACUUAAACAACCAGGAGGUUGGCUUAGAAGCAGCCAUCCUUUAAAGAAAGCGUAAUAGCUCACUGGUCUAGUGAUUUUGCGCGGAAAAUAUAACGGGGCUAAAGUAAGUACCGAAGCUGUAGACUUAGUUUACUAAGUGGUAGGAGAGCGUUCUAUUUGCGUCGAAGGUAUACCGGUAAGGAGUGCUGGAGCGAAUAGAAGUGAGCAUGCAGGCAUGAGUAGCGAUAAUUAAUGUGAGAAUCAUUAACGCCGUAAACCCAAGGUUUCCUACGCGAUGCUCGUCAUCGUAGGGUUAGUCGGGUCCUAAGUCGAGUCCGAAAGGGGUAGACGAUGGCAAAUUGGUUAAUAUUCCAAUACCAACAUUAGUGUGCGAUGGAAGGACGCUUAGGGCUAAGGGGGCUAGCGGAUGGAAGUGCUAGUCUAAGGUCGUAGGAGGUUAUACAGGCAAAUCCGUAUAACAAUACUCCGAGAACUGAAAGGCUUUUUGAAGUCUUCGGAUGGAUAGAAGAACCCCUGAUGCCGUCGAGCCAAGAAAAGUUUCUAAGUUUAGCUAAUGUUGCCCGUACCGUAAACCGACACAGGUGGGUGGGAUGAGUAUUCUAAGGCGCGUGGAAGAACUCUCUUUAAGGAACUCUGCAAAAUAGCACCGUAUCUUCGGUAUAAGGUGUGGUUAGCUUUGU